GCCCACAGCUAAAGCCUGUUCAACAUGGCAGCAUCAGCAGUGGUGGAUAUUAUGGAGACGUCGUUACUUAUCACUGUGAUCCUGGAUACGAGAUCAGUGGUGAUGAAGAACGGACCUGCCAGGCUAACCAGACGUGGAGCGGAACACAUCCUACAUGCAGCCGGAAAGCGUGCUCAGCGCUGCCAGUGCCAAACAACGGCAAUAUGACUGAGGGUCAUCUUUACGGGGACAAAGUCACAUUUACCUGCAAUGAUGGUUACGAACUUAUGGGGUCCGUAAACAGGACUUGUCAAGCCAACCAUACCUGGUCGGGUAUACAGCCGAAUUGCACAAGAACACCCUGCCCACAGCUGACACCUGUUCAACAUGGCAGCAUCAGUGGUGGUGGAUAUUAUGGAGACGUCGUUACUUAUCAAUGUGAUCCUGGAUACGAGAUCAGUGGUGAUGAAGAACGAACAUGCCAGGCUAACCAGAC
Molecule: long non-coding RNA, 475 nt
Organism: Branchiostoma floridae (Florida lancelet)
Lineage: Eukaryota; Metazoa; Chordata; Leptocardii; Amphioxiformes; Branchiostomatidae
Exons: 3
Source: RefSeq, a predicted model, not a curated record